Molecule: ribosomal RNA, 253 nt
Filed under: uncultured bacterium
Lineage: Bacteria
Description: partial 16S ribosomal RNA
Rfam family: Bacterial small subunit ribosomal RNA
Source: RNAcentral
UACGGAGGAUCCGAGCGUUAUCCGGAUUUAUUGGGUUUAAAGGGAGCGUAGGUGGAUUGUUAAGUCAGUUGUGAAAGUUUGCGGCUCAACCGUAAAAUUGCAGUUGAAACUGGCAGUCUUGAGUACAGUAGAGGUGGGCGGAAUUCGUGGUGUAGCGGUGAAAUGCUUAGAUAUCACGAAGAACUCCGAUCGCGAAGGCAGCUCACUGGACUGCAACUGACACCGAGGCUCGAAAGUGUGGGUAUCAAACAGG